This 476-nucleotide ribosomal RNA is filed under the name Candidatus Scalindua wagneri. RNAcentral's name for it is "bacterial SSU rRNA". It matches the Rfam family "Bacterial small subunit ribosomal RNA", at positions 365 to 832 of the family's 1533-position model. Lineage: Bacteria; Pseudomonadati; Planctomycetota; Candidatus Brocadiia; Candidatus Brocadiales; Candidatus Scalinduaceae. The record is from RNAcentral.
UUCGCAAUGCCCGAAAGGGUGACGAAGCGACGCCGCGUGAGCGAAGAAGGCCCUAGGGUUGUAGAGCUCUGUCGGGGGUUAUGAAAUGUAGACUGGUUAAUACCCAGUCUAUUUGACAAAGGCCCCAAAGGAAGCCACGGCUAACUCUGUGCCAGCAGCCGCGGUAAUACAGAGGUGGCAAGCGUUGUUCGGUAUUAUUGGGCGUAAAGAGCACGUAGGUGGUUUUGUAAGUCAGAUGUGAAAGCCUUCUGUUCAAAGGAAGAACGGCAUCUGAAACUACAAACCUUGAGUGUAGGAGGGGAGAAUGGAACUUCUGGUGGAGCGGUGAAAUGCGUAGAUAUCAGAAGGAACGUCGGCGGCGAAAGCGACUCUCUGGCCUAUUACUGACACUGAGGUGCGAAAGUUAGGGGAGCAAACGGGAUCAGAUACCCCGGUAGUCCUAACCGUAAACGAUGGGCACUAAGUAGAGGGGUUUU